AGGACGAACGCUGGCGGCGCACCUAAGACAUGCAAGUCGAACGGUCUCUUCAUUCUUCGCAAGAAGGGGGGGAGAUAGUGGCGGACGGGUGAGUAACACGUAAGGGACCUGCCCUAGAGUGGGGGAUAGCCUGGGGAAACCGAGGGUAAGCCCGCAUACGACCGAUGGCAUAGCGCGAUCGGGGAAGUACCUGUCUUCUUCGGACGAGGGGUAGCUCUGGGAGGGCCUUGUGGCGGAUUAGCUAGUUGGAGGGGUAGCGGCCCACCAAGGCGACGAUCCGUAGCUGGUCUGAGAGGAUGACCAGCCACACCGGGGACUGAGACACGGCCCGGACUCCUACGGGAGGCAGCAGUUAGGGAAUUUUCCCAAUGGGCGCAAGCCUGAGGGAGUGACGCCGCGUGCGGGAUGACGCUUUUCGGAGUGUAAACCGCUUUUCAGGGGGACGAGAUGGACGGUACCCCUGGAAGAAGCCCCGGCUAACUACGCGCCAGCAGCCGC
This 498-nucleotide ribosomal RNA is filed under the name uncultured bacterium. RNAcentral describes it as "SSU rRNA". It matches the Rfam family "Bacterial small subunit ribosomal RNA", at positions 26 to 518 of the family's 1533-position model. The record is from RNAcentral.